GUAGAUAUAGUUUAACAAAAACGUUAGAUUGUGAUUCUAAAAACAGAGGUUAAAAUCCCCUUAUCCACC
This 69-nucleotide transfer RNA is filed under the name Emmelichthys struhsakeri. RNAcentral describes it as "tRNA-His". It matches the Rfam family "tRNA". Rfam says of the family: Transfer RNA (tRNA) molecules are approximately 80 nucleotides in length. Their secondary structure includes four short double-helical elements and three loops (D, anti-codon, and T loops). RNAcentral also lists the same sequence under 3 other names. Lineage: Eukaryota; Metazoa; Chordata; Actinopteri; Emmelichthyidae. The record is from RNAcentral.